CCCUUAGAUGUUCUGGGCCGCACGCGCGCUACACUGAUGAAUUCAACGAGUUUUCCACCUUGACCGAGAGGUCCGGGAAAUCUUUUUAACUUUCAUCGUGCUGGGGAUAGAUUAUUGCAAUUAUUAAUCUUCAACGAGGAAUUCCUAGUAAGCGCGAGUCAUCAGCUCGCGUUGAUUACGUCCCUGCCCUUUGUACACACCGCCCGUCGUUACUACCGAUUGGUGUGCAGGGUGAAAUCUUCGGACUGUGGAUUUUGAGCGGUUUCCGUUUCUUUUUCCGCGGGAGGUUGCUUAAAUCCUGCUCACUAGAGGAAGUACAAGUCGUAACA
Molecule: ribosomal RNA, 329 nt
Filed under: uncultured eukaryote
Lineage: Eukaryota
Description: partial 18S ribosomal RNA
Rfam family: Eukaryotic small subunit ribosomal RNA
Source: RNAcentral